RNAcentral lists this ribosomal RNA (279 nucleotides) under uncultured bacterium. RNAcentral describes it as "partial 16S ribosomal RNA". It matches the Rfam family "Bacterial small subunit ribosomal RNA", at positions 506 to 784 of the family's 1533-position model. The record is from RNAcentral.
UGCCAGCCGCCGCGGUAAUACGAAGGGGGCUAGCGUUGUUCGGAAUUACUGGGCGUAAAGCGCACGUAGGCGGACUUUUAAGUCAGAUGUGAAAUCCCGGGGCUCAACCCCGGAACUGCCUUUAAUACUGGCAGUCUAGAGUUCGAGAGAGGUGAGUGGAAUUCCGAGUGUAGAGGUGAAAUUCGUAGAUAUUCGGAGGAACACCAGUGGCGAAGGCGGCUCACUGGCUCGAUACUGACGCUGAGGUGCGAAAGUGUGGGGAGCAAACAGGAUUAGAUA